Molecule: ribosomal RNA, 432 nt
Filed under: uncultured microorganism
Description: bacterial SSU rRNA
Rfam family: Bacterial small subunit ribosomal RNA
Source: RNAcentral
GGGCUGCAGUGAGGAAUAUUCCGCAAUGGGCGAAAGCCUGACGGAGCGACGCCGCGUGUGUGAUGAAGUCUUUCGGGAUGUAAAACACUGUCAGGGGGGAAGAUAUUGACGGUACCCCCAGAGGAAGGCCCGGCUAACUACGUGCCAGCAGCCGCGGUAAUACGUAGGGGCCAAGCGUUGUCCGGAUUUAUUGGGCGUAAAGAGUGCGUAGGCGGUUAAAUAAGUCAGAUGUUAAAUCUCCAGGCUCAACCUGGAACAUGCGUCUGAAACUAUUUGACUUGAGAAUUGUAGAGGGAAGCGGAACUUCUGGUGUAGCGGUGAAAUGCGUAGAUAUCAGAAGGAACACCCGUGGCGAAGGCGGCUUCCUGGACAUUUUCUGACGCUGAGGUACGAAAGCUAGGGUAGCAAACGGGAUUAGAUACCCCGGUAGUC